UAGGGAAUCUUCCACAAUGGACGCAAGUCUGAUGGAGCAACGCCGCGUGAGUGAAGAAGGUCUUCGGAUCGUAAACUCUGUUGUUAGAGAAGAACACGAGUGAGGGUAACUGUUCAUUCGAUGACGGUAUCUAACCAGCAAGUCACGGCUAACUACGUGCCAG
Molecule: ribosomal RNA, 163 nt
Filed under: uncultured bacterium
Lineage: Bacteria
Description: partial 16S rRNA
Rfam family: Bacterial small subunit ribosomal RNA
Source: RNAcentral